This 445-nucleotide long non-coding RNA is filed under the name Homo sapiens (human). Its description in RNAcentral is "non-protein coding lnc-SDSL-3:1". Lineage: Eukaryota; Metazoa; Chordata; Mammalia; Primates; Hominidae. The record is from RNAcentral.
GGGCAGCCCAAAACCAUGCCUUCUGAUAGACCCCUCCCUUGCUGACUUGAAGCUCCACCAUGAGACUUGCUUUGACCAAUGGGGCAAGUAGCAAACUUGGCACAAGAGGCUUUGAAUAAACUCUUCCUCUCUGGCUCCUCUGCCUCACCCAUGAAAAGAUGCCUAGCCUGGCCAUUUGGAGGAUGAGAGAGCACUGAGUCAGUUCAGCCUGAAGCCAGGCCAGACAAGGAGACAGCUCUGAGAUACAGAAGAGUCCAGCCAAGAUCUGCAAAGCCACCUCAUUAACCUGCAGCUGAGGGCAGAGGCGUGAAUGAGCAACCUGGACAAAGACUGCCCACCUCACCUACAGACUCCUGAGCUAAAUAAGCAUGUAAUGUUUUAAGCCACUGAGUCUUGUGAUUGUUCAUUAAGCAGCAACAGAUAACUAAUACAAGAUGGAACUGGC